UAUAUAAAUAUUUACUGGGGCUCCAUGAGAAAAAAUUGCUUGCAAGUUCAAACUGGUUCAGCUAAAAGGGCACUCUAAUUUGGCCCAAAAGUGUACUGUAGAUUAUAACUCCUGUAUGAUUAGAAUCCCUUUAAAAAAACAUAAAAGCUUUCAAGUAAUGGAAAGGCAAACCAUAGAAAUGGAUAACCCUUCCCUCCAUGAGCCUCUGUUAUUUAUCCUGCCCCAGCUUCCUUGGGGUAAACUUGUAUAGUGGAAUGAAUGCAGUUUAACACCACUUUAACUGCUCUGAUUCACUGCUAAGAGAUCUUGGAAUCUGUAGUUUUAAAAGGUCUUUAGCCUUCUCUGCCAAAGAAUGCUGCUAUCUCACCAAAUUUCAAAUCCCAGCAUUGCACAGCAUUCAGCAAUUAAAAGUGGUGCCAGACAUGAAGGAGAGGAGAGGAGAGGUGGAGAGAUGCAGGGAGACUGAAGGAGAUAUUGAUAGGAAGAAAAAGAAAAGUCGGUGCAGAGAUCGAUAGGAAGAAAAAAGAAAAGGAGUUUGGAGAGAUAGAUAGGAAGGAAGAGGAAAAAAGGUUUGGGGAAAUCGAUAGAAAGAAUAGGGAAAAGGGGUUUGGAGAGAUCCAUAAGGAAGACAAAGAAAAGGAGUUUGGAGAGAUAGAUAGGAAGAAAAGGGGCUUGCAGAAAUAUGGAUAUGAAGAAAAAGGAAAGGGGGUUGGACAGAUAUAUAAGAAGAAAGAGGAUAGGGGUUUUGGGUGCAUGCAGGGUUUGUUGUGUGUAAUACGUUGUAAGUUUUUGUUAUGUUUGAAUGUUAGGGUAAACUCUUAUAUUUAAUUUUUUUUAAAAAUGAGUAGAAACCUGGAUUGAGAGUGGUGGAGGACAUGUGGAAAGAGCAGUUCUAUAUGUUUUGAGUAACAGAUAAUAAUAUGUACUGUGUUAGAAUUGGCAGGCUGGUUGACUAAUGUAGAUAUGCAUGUACAUUUCAAAAUGAUUGUUAUCUGACUAUAUCUUUGAUAAUUUGCUGUUUUGUUAAGUAACGUUUCAUUAAUAAACUGUUUAGCCACAAAAAAAAUAUCUGACUUAUAAAUGACUCAUAGUUAAGAUCGGAGGUGAGUCAACAGGAAGUGAGAGAAAUCUACCCCUUGGAAGGGAAAUCCACUUCUGGAAGUUAUUUUCAUAAGGAAAAGGGAUCUCCACUGAAACUUUAUUACCAAUCCUUGUUCCCACAACAAGCCAUUUUUUUCAAAGAACAAACCUUAAGAACAAACCUGCAGAACCUAUCUUGCUCGUAACUUGGGGACUGCCUGUAUUGAAGACUGAUCACUUAUACUUUGUGAAGAAAGAGGAGAUAUAUCUCUCAACACAGAAGACAGGCUUUGCAUAAUUUCAAGGCUAGACAAGUUUACUCUUCCUAUACUUCUUAUGUUUUAAACAAGACUUGAACAGAAAAUCCCUUCAAAAAGACAACAAACUGUUCUCAGUUGAGUAGGACACAUAAUGACCAUACUAUUUGAUGCUAGCACAAAGAAUGUGUGCCCCGCUAGGACAAAGAAAAAUAACAACAAAACACAACAAAUUACAGCUGUAACAUGGUCCAUGGUAUAAUAUAAUUUCUGAAUGUAUUUUGUAGACAGAUUUUAGCAAUGAGGGGCUGAGUCCCCUUUUAGCUAAGAUAACAAUAUGAAAAAUGUCCUCCCAGUAUGUUUCAACCCCCACAGCCCCAAUUAUGUGGCACAUUUAGAAAAUGCUGUUAAAAGUUCUCUAGUUCACAAUCUAAUUGCAGAGAGAAUCAAUUUUGCCAAGUCUGUGGGGAGAGGAAAGGUUGCCCGAUUUUAGAUCAAGGGCAUGUGUCAAGCUUAAAGCCUGUGGGCUGAAUUUGGCCCACCAUGCCAUUUUAUGUGGUCCUCCAGACUAAAACUUGCAGGGGUUGUAAUACAGUGACAUCUGGAUGGCCACAGUUUGUUCUGUUUAGUCAGGAGAGUGGAAUUGAACUUAGAUACAAGGCUUUUGGACAUGAUGUCUGACUUUAAAAUGUCCUUUAACUUUUCCCCAACCUCAGAGCCAUAAGUGCUAUUGGGCUGCAAUACCCGUUAUCCCCAGUCAACAUGGCAGAUAUUAAAAAGUGAUGGGAGUUGUCAUUCGAUAACAUCUGGUGACCCAAAUUGGAUAAUAACUAAAGAGCACCAACCACAACAGUUGGCCCUCUGUCUUCAUGGAUUCUCCAUCUAUGGAUUCAAUGGCCUUUUUAAGGCAACCAUAAGACACCUUUGCUAUAGGAUCUUUCUCUAGUUUUGAGUCUGGCACUUCUGAUCAUGAAGGACAUUUUUAGCAAGCCAGAAGUGACUUGCUUUCUGAUUGUGGUUGCUUUCUGAUUGUGAAAAGCCCUUUACUGGUACUGAAAACAGGUAAAUGAUAAAAUUCUAUUUAUUUAUUUGUUUAUUUAUUUAAUUGAUAUACCGCUCUUCUCCACCAGGGGGACCCAGAGCAGUCUUACACAAUGGCAGAAUUAGUAAAACUAAACAUAAAACACAGGUAAAAGCCGGGAUCCAACUUCUGAUUUACCAACCUCUGAAGUGUUUCCUUCCCAGGUCGAGGAGGACAGACAUAUCUGGCAUGAGGUGACUGACUACCUUGAAUUAAGGAAUUGGUGGGAUGGGGGGUAUGUGUAGUCUUUGGAUCUGAGUAGUUAACCAUCUCACAAACCCAGCAUUACAACCUAUGGAAUGAGUCUUCUCUUCUGACUUCCAUUCCAGGCUCAAGACUGAUCUUUAAAAAUGUUGAGAUCAUGACAUUUUUAGAAUUCAAUGCAAGCUCCAUUUUUAUCUCCGUUGUAUAAUUAAUUUGUGCUUUAUUACAAUGGCGAUAAUUCCCUUGUGGCAAUUGUGGGGUUUUAGCUUAUAAUGACAAUAAAAUAUACAACAUGUAAGAUGAAGUUUAGGGAAAGGAAGGAGAAGCAAAGAAUAAAUAUUUAAUCACUUUAGCUUCCCAAGCACUGUUUGGUUUAGAAAAGGGACAAUGUUAAACCCAUUUCCUGGUUUAUCCUUAGCACAUUUUCUGUGAAGUAAUUGCAUGUUUAAUCUUUAGUUCCUCUCCCCCGUGAUU
This is a long non-coding RNA of Anolis carolinensis (green anole), 3096 nucleotides long. NCBI's taxonomy places the organism in Eukaryota, Metazoa, Chordata, Lepidosauria, Squamata, Anolidae. The record is from Ensembl.